AACGAACGCUGGCGGCAUGCCUAACACAUGCAAGUCGAACGAGACCUUCGGGUCUAGUGGCGCACGGGUGCGUAACGCGUGGGAACCUGCCCUUAGGUUCGGAAUAACUCCCCGAAAGGUGUGCUAAUACCGGAUAAUGUCUUCGGACCAAAGAUUUAUCGCCUUUGGAUGGGCCCGCGUUGGAUUAGCUAGUUGGUAGGGUAAAAGCCUACCAAGGCGACGAUCCAUAGCUGGUCUGAGAGGAUGAUCAGCCACACUGGGACUGAGACACGGCCCAGACUCCUACGGGGGGCAGCAGUGGGGAAUAUUGGACAAUGGGCGAAAGCCUGAUCCAGCAAUGCCGCGUGAGUGAUGAAGGCCUUAGGGUUGUAAAGCUCUUUUACCCGGGAUGAUAAUGACAGUACCGGGAGAAUAAGCGCCGGCUAACUCCGUG
This 433-nucleotide ribosomal RNA is filed under the name uncultured bacterium. RNAcentral describes it as "partial 16S ribosomal RNA". It matches the Rfam family "Bacterial small subunit ribosomal RNA", at positions 29 to 507 of the family's 1533-position model. The record is from RNAcentral.